This 492-nucleotide ribosomal RNA is filed under the name uncultured bacterium. RNAcentral's name for it is "partial 16S ribosomal RNA". It matches the Rfam family "Bacterial small subunit ribosomal RNA", at positions 29 to 507 of the family's 1533-position model. The record is from RNAcentral.
AGUGAACGCUGGCGGUAGGCCUAGCACAUGCAAGUCGAACGGCAGCACAGUAAGAGCUUGCUCUUACGGGUGGCGAGUGGCGGACGGGUGAGGAAUACAUCGGAAUCUACUUUUUCGUGGGGGAUAACGUAGGGAAACUUACGCUAAUACCGCAUACGACCUACGGGUGAAAGCAGGGGAUUUUCGGACCUUGCGCGAUUGAAUGAGCCGAUGUCGGAUUAGCUAGUUGGCGGGGUAAAGGCCCACCAAGGCGACGAUCCGUAGCUGGUCUGAGAGGAUGAUCAGCCACACUGGAACUGAGACACGGUCCAGACUCCUACGGGAGGCAGCAGUGGGGAAUAUUGGACAAUGGGCGCAAGCCUGAUCCAGCCAUACCGCGUGGGUGAAGAAGGCCUUCGGGUUGUAAAGCCCUUUUGUUGGGAAAGAAAAGCAGCAGGUUAAUACCCCGCUGUUCUGACGGUACCCAAAGAAUAAGCACCGGCUAACUUCGUG